UCCUCCUCCUCUUCCUCCUCUUCUUUCGAAAUCAACCGCAUGCUCUGAUUGAACCAACCUUCGGCGAGAGGCUGCAUCUAGAGCACCAAUGGCUGCAAUAGUUCAAAGGGAGAGAGAGAGAGAGAGAUUAAGGGCGAGUGAUUCAAGAUCAAAGCUCGUCUCAAAUCUUCCCCUACAACAUCCAUCGAUUCCAAGCCAAUAUUCUAACAGGGCCUGAGGGAGAGGGAUGGAGCUGGUUCUGUCGAAUCAGCUCGUAAACUACUAAACUCUCAACGCCUACCCAACCUCUUCAUUUUUUUUUUCUUUCCAACUCCGAUUAGGGACUCAAUGUAUGAUUAGUGUGAUUGAUGACCUUCUGAUAUAUAUAUUUCUUUCCCUGUUUUCUCUUCCUAAUU
Nelumbo nucifera (sacred lotus) is the source of this 395-nucleotide non-coding RNA. Lineage: Eukaryota; Viridiplantae; Streptophyta; Magnoliopsida; Proteales; Nelumbonaceae. The record is from RefSeq and is a predicted model, not a curated record.